ACUCUAUGAUCGGCUGCCCAAUUU
This 24-nucleotide non-coding RNA is filed under the name Arabidopsis thaliana (thale cress). Lineage: Eukaryota; Viridiplantae; Streptophyta; Magnoliopsida; Brassicales; Brassicaceae. The record is from RNAcentral.